RNAcentral lists this ribosomal RNA (1339 nucleotides) under Pseudomonas aeruginosa. Its description in RNAcentral is "partial 23S ribosomal RNA". It matches the Rfam family "Bacterial large subunit ribosomal RNA", at positions 1607 to 2925 of the family's 2925-position model. The record is from RNAcentral. Lineage: Bacteria; Pseudomonadati; Pseudomonadota; Gammaproteobacteria; Pseudomonadales; Pseudomonadaceae.
UCCAAGAAAAGCUUCUAAGCUUCAGGUAACCAGGAACCGUACCCCAAACCGACACAGGUGGUCGGGUAGAGAAUACCAAGGCGCUUGAGAGAACUCGGGUGAAGGAACUAGGCAAAAUGGCACCGUAACUUCGGGAGAAGGUGCGCCGGCUAGGGUGAAGGAUUUACUCCGUAAGCUCUGGCUGGUCGAAGAUACCAGGCCGCUGCGACUGUUUAUUAAAAACACAGCACUCUGCAAACACGAAAGUGGACGUAUAGGGUGUGACGCCUGCCCGGUGCCGGAAGGUUAAUUGAUGGGGUUAGCGCAAGCGAAGCUCUUGAUCGAAGCCCCGGUAAACGGCGGCCGUAACUAUAACGGUCCUAAGGUAGCGAAAUUCCUUGUCGGGUAAGUUCCGACCUGCACGAAUGGCGUAACGAUGGCGGCGCUGUCUCCACCCGAGACUCAGUGAAAUUGAAAUCGCUGUGAAGAUGCAGUGUAUCCGCGGCUAGACGGAAAGACCCCGUGAACCUUUACUGUAGCUUUGCACUGGACUUUGAGCCUGCUUGUGUAGGAUAGGUGGGAGGCUUUGAAGCGUGGACGCCAGUUCGCGUGGAGCCAUCCUUGAAAUACCACCCUGGCAUGCUUGAGGUUCUAACUCUGGUCCGUGAUCCGGAUCGAGGACAGUGUAUGGUGGGCAGUUUGACUGGGGCGGUCUCCUCCUAAAGAGUAACGGAGGAGUACGAAGGUGCGCUCAGACCGGUCGGAAAUCGGUCGCAGAGUAUAAAGGCAAAAGCGCGCUUGACUGCGAGACAGACACGUCGAGCAGGUACGAAAGUAGGUCUUAGUGAUCCGGUGGUUCUGUAUGGAAGGGCCAUCGCUCAACGGAUAAAAGGUACUCCGGGGAUAACAGGCUGAUACCGCCCAAGAGUUCAUAUCGACGGCGGUGUUUGGCACCUCGAUGUCGGCUCAUCACAUCCUGGGGCUGAAGCCGGUCCCAAGGGUAUGGCUGUUCGCCAUUUAAAGUGGUACGCGAGCUGGGUUUAGAACGUCGUGAGACAGUUCGGUCCCUAUCUGCCGUGGACGUUUGAGAUUUGAGAGGGGCUGCUCCUAGUACGAGAGGACCGGAGUGGACGAACCUCUGGUGUUCCGGUUGUCACGCCAGUGGCAUUGCCGGGUAGCUAUGUUCGGAAAAGAUAACCGCUGAAAGCAUCUAAGCGGGAAACUUGCCUCAAGAUGAGAUCUCACUGGGAACUUGAUUCCCCUGAAGGGCCGUCGAAGACUACGACGUUGAUAGGCUGGGUGUGUAAGCGUUGUGAGGCGUUGAGCUAACCAGUACUAAUUGCCCGUGAGGCUUGACCAU